This 325-nucleotide RNase P RNA is filed under the name Sulfurimonas sp. RNAcentral's name for it is "RNase P RNA component class A". It matches the Rfam family "Bacterial RNase P class A". From Rfam's summary of the family: Ribonuclease P (RNase P) is a ubiquitous endoribonuclease, found in archaea, bacteria and eukarya as well as chloroplasts and mitochondria. Its best characterised activity is the generation of mature 5'-ends of tRNAs by cleaving the 5'-leader elements of precursor-tRNAs. Lineage: Bacteria; Pseudomonadati; Campylobacterota; Epsilonproteobacteria; Campylobacterales; Sulfurimonadaceae. RNAcentral also lists the same sequence under 1 other name. The record is from RNAcentral.
CAGGUAUAACAGAUAGUGACUUGAGUAAUCAAGAGGAAAGUCCGAGCUGCUGUAAGACAGUGUUCCAUUUAACGAAUGGCCGUAGUGAUGCGAGGGAAAGUGCAACAGAGAUUAGACUGCUAUAAGUAAUUAUAGUAACGGUGAAAAGGUGGAGUAAGAGCCCACCAGUUUCUAUAGUAAUAUAGAGAGCUUGUAAACCCAACAUGGCAGCAAGAAACAGAUGGUCAGCGUCUUACAAUGCUACUGUUUCGCUAGAGGCAUGACGUAAGUUAUGCAGUAGAUUAAUACUAUCAAAACAAAACUCGGCUUACGUUAUACCUAACUU